GGAACUCUGGAGAAGUCCGCACAAGGGUGUGCGGGUGCCGAAGGUGCAAGGCCGAAAGGCCGAAUCUCUCAGGCAAAAGGACAGAGGGAA
This 90-nucleotide non-coding RNA is filed under the name bovine gut metagenome. Its description in RNAcentral is "Glycine riboswitch". It matches the Rfam family "Glycine riboswitch aptamer", at positions 9 to 86 of the family's 94-position model. Rfam says of the family: This family represents the bacterial glycine riboswitch. Glycine riboswitches usually consist of two metabolite-binding aptamers domains with similar structures in tandem. The aptamers cooperatively bind glycine to regulate the expression of downstream genes. The record is from RNAcentral.